UUGGUGGUAGAAGCGCUUCCGCAUUCAACACAUGCAUAUGCCCCUGUCCGUGGAGGUUACUGUGAACAAAACAGCGUGUCCAAAGCAACCACAUGUCUGGCUGAAUGAUCUAGCAUGGAAUAACAAGGCAUCGACCACUGGAGUCAGCCUUUUUGUUGGUUUUACAUGACCCAGUUGGGCAAUGCAGGGCUUGUGCUUCAUUGAGGUUCUUAGUCAGCUCUACCGAACUGUCUUCCCUCAGUUGGACCUUGUUCCCUAUCGGGAUCAAUGGAAGCCAUCGGGGUGGUAUGUAUUCCGACGUGAGCGGUGAAAUGCUUAGACCGUUGGAAGACAAACGACAGCGAAGGCAUUCCGCCAGAAUGUUUUCAUUAAUCAAGAACGAGAGUGUGGGGAUCGAAGAUGAUCAGAUACCAUCGUAGUCCAUUACCGUAAACUAUGCCAACUCGGCAUUGGGAGUCUGUUCACUUUGAAGACUCUCCCAGCAUCAUCCCCCAAUAACGAGAAAUCCAAGUCUAUGGGUUCAGGGGGGAGUACAGUCGCAAGGCUGAGACUUAAAGGAAUUGACGGAAUGACACCACAAGGCGUGGAGUAUGCGGCUUAAUUUGACCCAACACGGGGAAGCUUACCAGGUCAGACACAGUAAGGAUUGACAGAUUGAGAGCUCUUUCUUGAUCCUAUGGAUGGUGGUGCAUGGCCGUUUCUGGUUCGUGGAGUGAUCUGUCUGCUUAAUUGCGGUAACGAACGAGAUCUCUACCUCUAAAUAGGCGCCGGUCUCGCAUGUAAGUAGGGAUGUGUUGGGGGCCUUCGUGUCCCCUCAUGUCCUGAGAGUGCCGGGAUCGCUUCUUAGACGGACUGUGCAUGUCUUUAAUGCACGGAAGAGGGAGUCAAUAGCAGGUCUGUGAUGCUCCUAGAUGUUCUGGGCUGCACGCGCACUACACUGGCACAGUAAACGAGUUGCACCUGCUUCGGCAGUCCUGCUUAGAAGUGAGCGUGGGAAAUCUUAGAAAACUGUGCCGUGCUGGGGAUAGAUGAUUGCGAUUAUUUGUCUUGAACGAGGAAUGCCUAGUAGAGGUACUUCAUCAGAGUACCUUGAUUGUGUCCCUGCCAUUUGUACACACCGCCCGUCGUUGCUACCGAUUGGCUGUAAAAUAGAGGCCUUAAGAGUCGCUUCCGCAAAGCUUUGCUUUUGAGGUUGUGACAAAUCUGGCCAAUAUUUCAUUGCUAGAGGAAGCAAAAGUCGUAACAAGG
RNAcentral lists this ribosomal RNA (1248 nucleotides) under metagenome. RNAcentral's name for it is "bacterial SSU rRNA". It matches the Rfam family "Eukaryotic small subunit ribosomal RNA", at positions 696 to 1799 of the family's 1831-position model. The record is from RNAcentral.